This is a long non-coding RNA of Triticum aestivum (bread wheat), 435 nucleotides long. RefSeq lists it as uncharacterized. The transcript has 3 exons. The record is from RefSeq and is a predicted model, not a curated record. Lineage: Eukaryota; Viridiplantae; Streptophyta; Magnoliopsida; Poales; Poaceae.
ACCACCCACCGCCAGGUCUCUCCUCAUCUAUCCCGCUCCAGACCCCUCCCUGUCUACCCCACGCCAUGCCCCUCCCCAUUCAGAUCGCAGCCUCGAGAUACGGCGGCCCAGUGCUACACUUCGAGCUGAGACGGCAGCGGUGGCGGCAGGACGGCAUGCCGGAUCAAUUCCCCGAGGUCGCUAGCGGCGGGCACGGAUCCAGCUCCAUCCAGCUGCGGGUAUGGUUCCAGGUCCAUCUGGCGGCGGGCACAGAUCCAAAUCCAUCCGGCUGAGAGCCAACUUUAUUCUCGUGGGGAUGGUCAGCUCUGCAGAUUAUAUAAUAGCAUGCAUUUGAAACAAAUCUGCACGUUAUGGAAGUUUGUACAUUAGAACUCGGAAGAAAGGUCAAGCCAAUUUCAUCACUAGCAUGAGACUUGGCAAUAUUGCAAGGUGGAG